GUGGGGAAUAUUGCACAAUGGGCGGAAGCCUGAUGCAGCGACGCCGCGUGGGGGAUGACGGCCUUCGGGUUGUAAACCCCUUUCGGCAGGGAACAAGUCCUUCGGGGUGAGGGUACCUGCGGAAGAAGCGCCGGCUAACUACGUGCCAGCAGCCGCGGUAAUACGUAGGGCGCGAGCGUUAUCCGGAAUUAUUUGGCGUAAAGAGCUCGUAGGCGGUUUGUCGCGUCUGCUGUGAAAGCCCGGGGCUCAACCCCGGGUCUGCAGUGGGGACGGGCAGGCUGGAGUGCAGUAGGGGAGACUGGAAUUCCUGGUGUAGCGGUGAAAUGCGCAGAUAUCAGGAGGAACACCGAUGGCGAAGGCAGGUCUCUGGGCUGUAACUGACGCUGAGGAGCGAAAGCAUGGGGAGCGAACAGGAUUAGAUACCCGGGUAGUCC
Molecule: ribosomal RNA, 434 nt
Filed under: uncultured bacterium
Lineage: Bacteria
Description: partial 16S ribosomal RNA
Rfam family: Bacterial small subunit ribosomal RNA
Source: RNAcentral